This 601-nucleotide long non-coding RNA is filed under the name Mus musculus (house mouse). Its description in RNAcentral is "RIKEN cDNA 2310008N11 gene". The record is from RNAcentral. Lineage: Eukaryota; Metazoa; Chordata; Mammalia; Rodentia; Muridae.
GGGAGCAGAACCGUUGCUUUGAUCAACAACAGGCCACUCUCACAAGGACAGACCCAUUCGAUAUAUUGUCUGGUGACGCCAUGGCCAUCGGAGUUUGAGCAGUCUACUCCACACACUGUCCACGUGAUGGGAAAUGGCCUUUGUCAGCUCACGCCAUGCUCUUCCUUAAGGACUGUUUGUCAACAGGAGUGCACUCUGUUUCUUAAGGUUGUGAUGACCUUGGCUGCCAAAGCUUCCUGGAAGACUAAGGAAACCGGCUUAAGGAGCAUGAGGAACUCGCCCAAGGCCAUGUAACUACCUCAGCGGCAAGGCUGGGCCCUGGCCUUAGCAACCACCCUGUGCCUCACCUUCGUCAUCGAGAAGUACUGAAGUCCAAGUUGCCACAGGGCCUAGGGGAGAAUGAACAAACCAGUCUAAAUCCCAGUUCUUCAGGAUUUUUUUCUUGCUGCUUUAACAGAAUGCCUGAUGUUAGAUAGUUAUAUAAAAUAGAAGGCCAUUUGUCUGUCAGUGCUGAAGUGGGGAAGUCCAGGGGUAUGCCAAUGGUAAAUGUGACAGUCACCUCAGACUCGAAGGCAAAAAUACAAUCAUGGGCGAGAAAAUC